RNAcentral lists this ribosomal RNA (352 nucleotides) under uncultured bacterium. RNAcentral describes it as "bacterial SSU rRNA". It matches the Rfam family "Bacterial small subunit ribosomal RNA", at positions 28 to 410 of the family's 1533-position model. The record is from RNAcentral.
GAUGAACGCUGGCGGCGUGGAUAAGGCAUGCAAGUCGAAUGGGUUUAGACCCAUGGCAGACGAGGUAGUAACACGUAGGUACGCACCCCAAAGUCGGGCAUAACUAGCCGAAAGGUUAGAUAAUUCUCGAUAGUCUCGUAAGAGUAAAGAUUUAUCGCUUUGGGAGCGGCCUGCGUAGUAUCAGCUAGUUGGUAGGGUAAUGGCCUACCAAGGCUAUGACGCUUAGGGGGACCUGAGAGGGUGACCCCCACCGAUGGAACUGAGACAUGGUCCAUACACCUACGGGGUGGCUGCAGUCGAGAAUCUUCCGCAAUGGACGAAAGUCUGACGGAGCGACGCCGCGUGAUUGAUG